RNAcentral lists this non-coding RNA (21 nucleotides) under Caenorhabditis elegans. Lineage: Eukaryota; Metazoa; Nematoda; Chromadorea; Rhabditida; Rhabditidae. The record is from RNAcentral.
UUUAAAAUGAAAACUUUGAAU